AGGCCUAACACAUGCAAGUCGAACGGUAGCACAGAGAGCUUGCUCUCGGGUGACGAGUGGCGGACGGGUGAGUAAUGUCUGGGAAACUGCCCGAUGGAGGGGGAUAACUACUGGAAACGGUAGCUAAUACCGCAUAACGUCGCAAGACCAAAGAGGGGGACCUUCGGGCCUCUUGCCAUCGGAUGUGCCCAGAUGGGAUUAGCUUGUAGGUGAGGUAACGGCUCACCUAGGCGACGAUCCCUAGCUGGUCUGAGAGGAUGACCAGCCACACUGGAACUGAGACACGGUC
RNAcentral lists this ribosomal RNA (289 nucleotides) under Klebsiella oxytoca. Its description in RNAcentral is "partial 16S ribosomal RNA". It matches the Rfam family "Bacterial small subunit ribosomal RNA", at positions 46 to 331 of the family's 1533-position model. Lineage: Bacteria; Pseudomonadati; Pseudomonadota; Gammaproteobacteria; Enterobacterales; Enterobacteriaceae. The record is from RNAcentral.